UACGUAGGGAGCGAGCGUUGUCCGGAUUUACUGGGUGUAAAGGGAGCGUAGACGGCGAUGCAAGCCAGAUGUGAAAGCCCGGGGCUCAACCCCGGGACUGCAUUUGGAACUGUAUAGCUAGAGUGUCGGAGAGGCAGGCGGAAUUCCUAGUGUAGCGGUGAAAUGCGUAGAUAUUAGGAGGAACACCAGUGGCGAAGGCGGCCUGCUGGACGAUGACUGACGUUGAGGCUCGAAAGCGUGGGGAGCAAACAGG
This 253-nucleotide ribosomal RNA is filed under the name uncultured bacterium. RNAcentral describes it as "partial 16S ribosomal RNA". It matches the Rfam family "Bacterial small subunit ribosomal RNA", at positions 524 to 776 of the family's 1533-position model. The record is from RNAcentral.